Molecule: unclassified non-coding RNA, 223 nt
Filed under: Hevea brasiliensis (rubber tree)
Lineage: Eukaryota; Viridiplantae; Streptophyta; Magnoliopsida; Malpighiales; Euphorbiaceae
Source: RNAcentral
AGAUGCAGAAUUUAAUGCGUUUGUAGCACUCAUAAGCAUUUCGAAUCUCUUCUUGGUUUCUUCUCCGUCGGUGAAUUUCAUCCUGAGAUAGCGGCGGAGCAGCGUUGCUCUGCUGGAAAGUUAGCGCCGAAUGCUGUUGAGGCAGCGGCGGCGGUGGUUGCGGUGGAGGAGGAGGAGGCGGUGACUGAGGCAGCGGUGGAGGUGGUUCGUAAAGCUUCCGUUU